GAUGAAGAACGUAGCGAAAUGCGAUACUUGGUGUGAAUUGCAGAAUCCCGUGAACCAUCGAGUCUUUGAACGCAAGUUGCGCCCGAAGCCAUUAGGCCGAGGGCACGCCUGCCUGGGCGUCACACGUCGUUGCCCCCCCCAUCUACUCCUUCGGGAUUGCGGGGGGCGGAUGAUGGCCUCCCGUGCGCCUCGCCGCGCGGUUGGCAUAAAUGCCAAGUCCUCGGCGACGCACGCCACGACAAUCGGUGGUUGCGAAACCUCGGUUGCCCGUCGUGUGCGGUCGUCGCGCAUCGAGGGCUCGAAAAAAUUGCCGAGUUCCGGCUCGGCUUUCAACGCGACCCCAGGUCAGGCGGGGUUACCAGCUGAAUUUAAGCAUAUCAAUAAGCGGAGGA
This 392-nucleotide unclassified non-coding RNA is filed under the name soil metagenome. RNAcentral's name for it is "partial contains 5.8S ribosomal RNA, internal transcribed spacer 2, and large subunit ribosomal RNA". The stretch from base 1 to 122 matches the Rfam family "5.8S ribosomal RNA", at positions 35 to 154 of the family's 154-position model. The record is from RNAcentral.